CUGCCAAGUAUGAUUUAACAUAUGAUGUGGUAGACAGUGAGAUUACAAUCACUCUACAGAGCAUGACUUUGCAGUUAGAUCAAAUUAUUCCUUAAAUUAAUUGUACUCACUUUUAAAAUUAAGUAUUUUUGAACCUGUACCAAGUGUAAAACUAUAAUUAUUAAUAUGUUGGUUUUACUAGCAGAAGAAAUUCAUAAAGAGUUAAAUAAUUUCAGUUUCAUUAAAAAAUCCUAAAAAUAGGAAGUCAGAUUAAUUUCAAUAAUAAAUUUUUGUUUUUCCAUUUUAUGGAAUCAAAGUAAACCUAAUUGAAUGUUAAAAUGAAUUGAAAAUUCAAUUAAAAGUUCAAUAUCAAAGAUCAAAUUAUGUGUUUGUGAUGUAAUGUAAAUACAAAAUUAAGAAAUCUAUGGAACAGACUGUCCUUGGAAUUUCUUGUGAGAUAAACAAAAUUAACAAUAAAAUUCAGAGAAGCUGAAAUAAUCUGCCAAUCAAAAUAAAAUCCGUCAUUGUCAAAACAUACAGAUAUACAUAUAAACAUCUUAAGUAACUAAAUUACAAAAUUUUUGACAAAGCUAAUGUUGAAUAUUUUUAUAAUCAGUGUGUGUGUGUGUGUGUGUGUGUGUGUGUGUCUACAUUCUUUGUUCUUCUCUGAUCAGAUUUUAGAAAUUUUUGAUUUAUUCAGAACUAUUCUGCACAUCAAUCUAAGUGCCCUGCAAUGCCAUUAAACUUUUUGUAAACAGGUCUCUAAAUUUGCUCAUAUUUUAUUCAGAAUUGGUUGGGAAUCUUUAAUCAAGGUAGCAAGUGGAGUGCGCCCUCUGCCCAAAAAUAAACAACAAAAAACCCUGCAGCUUUUGAAGCUCUUAACAAGUUAAAAUUAUUAAGAGUAUCUUCUGCCA
This 893-nucleotide long non-coding RNA is filed under the name Homo sapiens (human). Its description in RNAcentral is "HSALNT0027646". Lineage: Eukaryota; Metazoa; Chordata; Mammalia; Primates; Hominidae. The record is from RNAcentral.